CACCGGCGGCCCGAGUGGUAACCGUUUUUAUUGGGUCUAAAGGGUCUGUAGCCGGCCAAGUAAGUCCUUUGGGAAAUCUGGUAGCUCAACUAUCAGGCUGCCAGGGGAUACUGCUUGGCUUGGGACCGGGAGAGGUGAGAGGUACCUCGGGGGUAGGGGUGAAAUCUUGUGAUCCUCGAGGGACCACCAGUGGCGAAGGCGUCUCACCAGAACGGGUCCGACGGUAAGGGACGAAAGCUAGGGGCACGAACCGGAUUAGAUACCCGGGUAGUCCUAGCCGUAAACGAUGCUCGCUAGGUGUCAGUCACGGUGCGACCGCGAUUGGUGCCGUAGGGAAGCCGUGAAGCGAGCCACCUGGGAAGUAUGGCCGCAAGGCUGGAACUUAAAGGAAUUGGCGGGGAGCACUACAACGGGUGGAGCCUGCGGUUC
RNAcentral lists this ribosomal RNA (429 nucleotides) under uncultured archaeon. RNAcentral describes it as "bacterial SSU rRNA". It matches the Rfam family "Archaeal small subunit ribosomal RNA", at positions 474 to 903 of the family's 1478-position model. The record is from RNAcentral.